RNAcentral lists this ribosomal RNA (330 nucleotides) under uncultured eukaryote. RNAcentral's name for it is "partial 18S ribosomal RNA". It matches the Rfam family "Eukaryotic small subunit ribosomal RNA", at positions 1470 to 1796 of the family's 1831-position model. The record is from RNAcentral.
CCCUUAGAUGUUCUGGGCCGCACGCGCGCUACAAUGAUGAAUUCAACGAGUUUAUAACCUUGGUUGAAAAGCCUGGGUAAUCUUUUGAACUUUCGUCGUGAUGGGGCUAGACCCUUGCAAUUAUUGGUCUCCAACGAGGAAUGCCUAGUAAACGCAAGUCAUCAGCUUGCAUUGAUUACGUCCCUGCCCUUUGUACACACCGCCCGUCGCUCCUACCGAUUGAAUGAUCCGAUGAAUAUCAUGGACUGAGAGUGUUAGAGUUUUCGGACUUCUACACUUCUCGGGAAGUGAAGUGAAUCUUAUCAUUUAGAGGAAGGAGAAGUCGUAACA